This 65-nucleotide transfer RNA is filed under the name Testudo graeca armeniaca. Its description in RNAcentral is "transfer RNA-Ser". The record is from RNAcentral. Lineage: Eukaryota; Metazoa; Chordata; Testudines; Testudinidae.
GAGGGAGGUGAUCCACAAUAAGAACUGCUAAUUCCUACAUCUGAGAUUAACCCCUCAGCUCCCNU